RNAcentral lists this ribosomal RNA (253 nucleotides) under uncultured bacterium. Its description in RNAcentral is "partial 16S ribosomal RNA". It matches the Rfam family "Bacterial small subunit ribosomal RNA", at positions 524 to 776 of the family's 1533-position model. The record is from RNAcentral.
UACGUAGGGGGCUAGCGUUGUCCGGAAUCAUUGGGCGUAAAGCGCGUGUAGGCGGUCCGGUAAGUCCGCUGUGAAAGUCCAGGGCUCAACCCUCGAAUGCCGGUGGAUACUGUCGGGCUAGAGUGCGGAAGAGGCGAGUGGAAUUCCUGGUGUAGCGGUGAAAUGCGCAGAUAUCAGGAGGAACACCUAUUGCGAAGGCAGCUCGCUGGGACGUUACUGACGCUGAGACGCGAAAGCGUGGGGAGCAAACAGG